Molecule: long non-coding RNA, 592 nt
Filed under: Olea europaea subsp. europaea
Lineage: Eukaryota; Viridiplantae; Streptophyta; Magnoliopsida; Lamiales; Oleaceae
Source: RNAcentral
GGGAGAUAGAAAUCCGAGUUCAAAAUAAAAGGAACAAGUAAAAUCCAAAUUAUAAACCAACAUCCUUGAUCACAAAAUCAAUUCACGAGCAGACUUAUGUUCAGAUCUCAAUUUUACAUUUUCAGUAUCUUUUUUUUUUUUUUUUUUUGAAUCGAUUGUAGGCUCAGAUCUGUGCAAUCAAGACGAAAUGCUAAACCGCCAUGGCUGCUAACAAACAGUUGUCACAACAAGAGAGAAAAUAUAGAAAAAUGGAGAAAAUAGGAAAACAUUUUUCCAUUUAUUUUGCUUUUCUUCUCUCAUAGACCUCCUGUUGGUUGCCACGCCAAGAUACGGCAAGCUCAUGGUCUCAAUUUUUGUUUUUCUUCGAAAAAUCAUCACAGCCUCGCAUCUUCGUAGAGACGAAAUUCCUCUAACAUGAUCAAUUUAGAGAGAGAGAGAGAGAAAGAGAGAUGGCGAUAGAAUCACCUAUAAAUGUUUCUUUGUACCAUAUGAAUGUGUGUGUGUGUAUAUAUAUAUAUAUAUCUAUGCAGUUUGAUGAAGGGUUGUUUGUUGUUUUGUUGAAAUCAUCGGCCAGGUUGCAGAGAGGGGUAAC